RNAcentral lists this ribosomal RNA (363 nucleotides) under Triticum aestivum (bread wheat). Its description in RNAcentral is "partial small subunit ribosomal RNA". Lineage: Eukaryota; Viridiplantae; Streptophyta; Magnoliopsida; Poales; Poaceae. The record is from RNAcentral.
AUGGAAAAUCUAAUCUGGUGGCAGGAAAAUAUGGAGUCAAGUUUAGUAGCCGUCGCCGUUCAAACGCUCACCUCACGCGGGAGGCCGCCCGAUCCAUCCAUCCGUCCAGCGGUGGCGGUGGGUGGCAACGAACGAACGACGACAAAUCUCGCCCACGACGCGACGAAAUCACCUCCCCGCCCGGUCCCGGUCCUCCUUCCAGAUGGCAUCUCGCCCCGAAUAGAUAGAUGGAGUAGGUCAGACACGCACAGUCACAGGAGAGAGAACGUGAGAAUUUUUUUUGAAAAACUUAAAAAAGCAACGGGACGCACGCACACCCACAUGGGACACGGACGCGCCCGGGCCCGCUCCCGGUCCCCCUAG